This 433-nucleotide ribosomal RNA is filed under the name uncultured bacterium. Its description in RNAcentral is "partial 16S ribosomal RNA". It matches the Rfam family "Bacterial small subunit ribosomal RNA", at positions 29 to 507 of the family's 1533-position model. The record is from RNAcentral.
AACGAACGCUGGCGGCAUGCCUAACACAUGCAAGUCGAACGAGACCUUCGGGUCUAAUGGCGCACGGGUGCGUAACGCGUGGGAACCUGCCCUUAGGUUCGGAAUAACUCCCCGAAAGGGGUGCUAAUACCGGAUAAUGUCUUCGGACCAAAGAUUUAUCGCCUUUGGAUGGGCCCGCGUUGGAUUAGCUAGUUGGUAGGGUAAAAGCCUACCAAGGCGACGAUCCAUAGCUGGCCUGAGAGGAUGAUCAGCCACACUGGGACUGAGACACGGCCCAGACUCCUACGGGAGGCAGCAGUGGGGAAUAUUGGACAAUGGGCGAAAGCCUGAUCCAGCAAUGCCGCGUGAGUGAUGAAGGCCUUAGGGUUGUAAAGCUCUUUUACCCGGGAUGAUAAUGACAGUACCGGGAGAAUAAGCUCCGGCUAACUCCGUG